RNAcentral lists this ribosomal RNA (486 nucleotides) under uncultured bacterium. RNAcentral's name for it is "partial 16S ribosomal RNA". It matches the Rfam family "Bacterial small subunit ribosomal RNA", at positions 30 to 507 of the family's 1533-position model. The record is from RNAcentral.
AUUGAACGCUGGCGGCAUGCCUUACACAUGCGAGUCGAACGGCAGCGCGGACUUCGGUCUGGCGGCGAGUGGCGAACGGGUGAGUAAUACAUCGGAACGUACCCUGUUGUGGGGGAUAACUAGUCGAAAGAUUAGCUAAUACCGCAUACGACCUGAGGGUGAAAGUGGGGGACCGGAAACGGCCUCAUGCAGCAGGAGCGGCCGAUGUCUGAUUAGCUAGUUGGUGGGGUAAAGGCCCACCAAGGCGACGAUCAGUAGCUGGUCUGAGAGGACGAUCAGCCACACUGGGACUGAGACACGGCCCAGACUCCUACGGGAGGCAGCAGUGGGGAAUUUUGGACAAUGGGGGCAACCCUGAUCCAGCAAUGCCGCGUGUGUGAAGAAGGCCUUCGGGUUGUAAAGCACUUUUGUCCGGAAAGAAAUCGCGCUGGUUAAUACCUGGCGUGGAUGACGGUACCGGAAGAAUAAGCACCGGCUAACUACGUG